GAUUGAACGCUGGCGGCAUGCCUUACACAUGCAAGUCGAACGGCAGCACGGGAGCAAUCCUGGUGGCGAGUGGCGAACGGGUGAGUAAUGUAUCGGAACGUACCUUUCAGUGGGGGAUAACGUAGCGAAAGUUACGCUAAUACCGCAUAUUCUGUGCGCAGGAAAGCAGGGGAUCGCAAGACCUUGCGCUGAUUGAGCGGCCGAUAUCAGAUUAGCUAGUUGGUGAGGUAAAGGCUCACCAAGGCGACGAUCUGUAGCGGGUCUGAGAGGAUGAUCCGCCACACUGGAACUGAGACACGGUCCAGACUCCUACGGGAGGCAGCAGUGGGGAAUUUUGGACAAUGGGGGCAACCCUGAUCCAGCCAUGCCGCGUGAGUGAAGAAGGCCUUCGGGUUGUAAAGCUCUUUCGGCCGGGAAGAAAUCGCAUGGGUUAAUACCCUGUGCGGAUGACGGUACCGGCAUAAGAAGCACCGGCUAACUACGUGCCAGCAGCCGCGGUAAUACGUAGGGUGCGAGCGUUAAUCGGAAUUACUGGGCGUAAAGCGUGCGCAGGCGGUUUUGUAAGACAGGCGUGAAAUCCCCGGGCUCAACCUGGGAACUGCGCUUGUGACUGCAAGGCUAGAGUAUGGCAGAGGGGAGUGGAAUUCCACGUGUAGCAGUGAAAUGCGUAGAGAUGUGGAGGAACACCAAUGGCGAAGGCAGCCCCCUGGGCCAAUACUGACGCUCAUGCACGAAAGCGUGGGUAGCAAACAGGAUUAGAUACCCUGGUAGUCCACGCCCUAAACGAUGUCAACUAGGUGUUGGGUGGGUAAAACCAUUUAGUACCGGAGCUAACGCGUGAAGUUGACCGCCUGGGGAGUACGGCCGCAAGGUUAAAACUCAAAGGAAUUGACGGGGACCCGCACAAGCGGUGGAUGAUGUGGAUUAAUUCGAUGCAACGCGAAAAACCUUACCUACCCUUGACAUGUCCAGGAGCCUGAAGAGAUUUGGGUGUGCCCGAAAGGGAACUGGAACACAGGUGCUGCAUGGCUGUCGUCAGCUCGUGUCGUGAGAUGUUGGGUUAAGUCCCGCAACGAGCGCAACCCUUGUCGUUAAUUGCCAUCAUUCAGUUGGGCACUUUAACGAGACUGCCGGUGACAAACCGGAGGAAGGUGGGGAUGACGUCAAGUCCUCGUGGCCCUUAUGGGUAGGGCUUCACACGUCAUACAAUGGUCGGUACAAAGGGUCGCCAACCCGCGAGGGGGAGCCAAUCCCAGAAAGCCGAUCGUAGUCCGGAUCGUAGGCUGCAACUCGCCUGCGUGAAGUCGGAAUCGCUAGUAAUCGUGGAUCAGCAUGUCACGGUGAAUACGUUCCCGGGUC
RNAcentral lists this ribosomal RNA (1359 nucleotides) under uncultured soil bacterium. RNAcentral's name for it is "bacterial SSU rRNA". It matches the Rfam family "Bacterial small subunit ribosomal RNA", at positions 27 to 1380 of the family's 1533-position model. The record is from RNAcentral.